Oryza sativa Japonica Group (Japanese rice) is the source of this 860-nucleotide long non-coding RNA. RefSeq lists it as uncharacterized. Lineage: Eukaryota; Viridiplantae; Streptophyta; Magnoliopsida; Poales; Poaceae. The record is from RefSeq and is a predicted model, not a curated record.
ACUCUAGAGCCGAAGAAGCCGAGGGAGAAAGGCCCUCUGCCUCUCUGUCAUCCUCAUUCUCGCCGGCGGCCGUGGAGACGACGACCGUCGCCAUCGCCAUCGUGCCGCGUGGUGACGCCGGAACGCGACCGUGCCCACGGGAGCUUCGGAACGCCGCCGCUUCGGCAUCAUCGUCGCCCGACCACCCUAGUCCAUCCCGGAGCAAGCCGCUGCGCCAUCGUCAUCGGCUCGACCCCAGGAGCCUGUACACUGAGAUCACCGAUUUCUUCCCCAACUCCGGCCGCCAACGUCGAUCUUCGAUUCCUGCCGCUCCGCAGCUCGUCGUACCGUUCGAGCCAUCGCCGUUCACCUGAGGAGGAGCGCCGUCGCCGAGCCGUUCCGCAAGUCGACGCUGCUGCCAAGACCUCGACAACCCUAGCUUGACCCACGGUUUAGACUUAGUCUUUGAGUGAUGUGGGUUCUGAUUGCUUCUUCUAGAAUGAGAACUUAAUGGGGUAAACCCCUAGUCGGUGUGCUUGUGAUUGGGUAGUCAAGCUUCCGCUGUUAUCUAAUAUUUAUUUGGCCGAUCGGCCUAUGUAUCUCUAAAUUAGUUGUAAAUUUUAAUUGCUCUCAUCUUAUUGUGUUUGCUAUGUGUAACCAUCCUUAAGAUGAAAGUGUGAAUCUAGUGCAUAUCUUAGGAGCUAGAUUCACAUGAGUAUGAGUUAAAAACAUAUGAGAUGUUGUAGAUCUUUAGCCAUUUUUGUCAAGUCUCCUGAAUGUGUAACACAUCUUGUCGCCGCCUUCGAGUAGUUUGACGGGCACAUCUCAGACUGAAGUUAGCUGGCAGACUAAAGGCCCAGCAAUGUCUCCGAUAUUCCUCU